This 460-nucleotide ribosomal RNA is filed under the name uncultured bacterium. RNAcentral describes it as "partial 16S ribosomal RNA". It matches the Rfam family "Bacterial small subunit ribosomal RNA", at positions 338 to 795 of the family's 1533-position model. The record is from RNAcentral.
CCUACGGGUGGCAGCAGUGAGGAAUAUUGGUCAAUGGACGAGAGUCUGAACCAGCCAAGUAGCGUGAAGGAUGACGGCCCUAUGGGUUGUAAACUUCUUUUAUAUGGGAAUAAAAUGUUCCACGUGUGGGAGUUUGUAUGUACCAUAUGAAUAAGGAUCGGCUAACUCCGUGCCAGCAUGAGCGGUAAUACGGAGGAUCCGAGCGUUUCCCGGAUUUAUUGGGUUGAAAGGGAGCGUAGAUGGCUUGUUAAGUAAGUUGUGAAAGUUUGCGGCUCAACCGUAAAAUUGCAGUGGAAACUGGCAGUCUUGAGUACAGUAGAGGUGGGCGGAAUUCGUGGUGUAGCGGUGUAAUGCUUAGAUAUCACGCAGAACUCCGAUUGCGAAGGCAGCUCACUGGACUGCAACUGACACUGAGGCUCGAAAGUGUGGGUAUCAAACAGGAUUAGAUACCCCUGUAGUC